AGAGUUUGAUCCUGGCUCAGAAUGAACGCUGGCGGCGUGCUUAACACAUGCAAGUCGAGCGCGAAGGCGGCUUCGGCCGCCGGAGAGCGGCGAACGGGUGAGUAACACGUGGGUAAUCUGCCUGGGAGCGGGGGAUAACCUGGGGAAACCCGGGCUAACACCGCAUACGAUGUCGGGGCUUCGGUUCCGGCCUGAAAACUGGCCUCUGCUUGCAAGCUAGUGCUCCCAGAGGAGCCCGCGGCUGAUUAGCUAGUUGGUGGGGUAACGGCUCACCAAGGCGACGAUCAGUAGCCGGCCUGAGAGGGUGAUCGGCCACACUGGGACUGAGACACGGCCCAGACUCCUACGGGAGGCAGCAGUGGGGAAUAUUGGACAAUGGGCGCAAGCCUGAUCCAGCAACGCCGCGUGGAGGAUGAAGGUCUUCGGAUCGUAAACUCCUGUCAGACGGGACGAAGGUAGGAGGGUGAACAAUCCUUCUGCUUGACGGUACUGUCAGAGGAAGCCCCGGCUAACUCCGUGCCAGCAGCCGCGGUAAUACGGAGGGGGCGAGCGUUAUUCGGAAUUAUUGGGCGUAAAGGGCGCGUAGGCGGUUCGAUAAGUCAAAGGUGAAAUCCCUCGGCUCAACUGAGGAACUGCCUUUGAAACUGUCGAGCUUGAGUCCGGGAGGGGAGCGGAAUUCCCAGUGUAGCGGUGAAAUGCGUAGAUAUUGGGAGGAACACCGGUGGCGAAGGCGGCUACCUGGACCGGAACUGACGCUGAUGCGCGAAAGCGUGGGUAGCAAACAGGAUUAGAUACCCUAGUAGUCC
This 806-nucleotide ribosomal RNA is filed under the name uncultured bacterium. Its description in RNAcentral is "bacterial SSU rRNA". It matches the Rfam family "Bacterial small subunit ribosomal RNA", at positions 8 to 796 of the family's 1533-position model. The record is from RNAcentral.